GAUUUUAAUAAAAAAUAAUUAGAUUAAAAGGUAAAAAUUCUUAUGAGAUAAGGACUAGCCCUUUUAGGUUGAUUGGUUCUUGAUUUGGAAUCAAGAAAGAGUCUAUAUAAAGAGAUAGUCUCUUAGGAUUUAAAUGAGUUAUUUUCAUUCAUUAAAAAUUAGAUCUCUCCCUCUCCAUGCCUCACCCUCUCUCCCUCUUCUCCUUCCCAUGCCCAAGGGUUAGCAUCCAUCAUCCACACGUCUGAGUUGAGAAGGAUCUCUUCUACAGUAAGGAAUGAAG
This 280-nucleotide long non-coding RNA is filed under the name Elaeis guineensis (African oil palm). RNAcentral describes it as "long non-coding RNA (EGUI_LNC077222)". The record is from RNAcentral. Lineage: Eukaryota; Viridiplantae; Streptophyta; Magnoliopsida; Arecales; Arecaceae.